Molecule: ribosomal RNA, 484 nt
Filed under: uncultured bacterium
Lineage: Bacteria
Description: partial 16S ribosomal RNA
Rfam family: Bacterial small subunit ribosomal RNA
Source: RNAcentral
AUUGAACGCUGGCGGCAGGCCUAACACAUGCAAGUCGAGCGGAUGAAGGGAGCUUGCUCCUGGAUUCAGCGGCGGACGGGUGAGUAAUGCCUAGGAAUCUGCCUGGUAGUGGGGGAUAACGUCCGGAAACGGGCGCUAAUACCGCAUACGUCCUGAGGGAGAAAGUGGGGGAUCUUCGGACCUCACGCUAUCAGAUGAGCCUAGGUCGGAUUAGCUAGUUGGUGGGGUAAAGGCCUACCAAGGCGACGAUCCGUGACUGGUCUGAGAGGAUGAUCAGUCACACUGGAACUGAGACACGGUCCAGACUCCUACGGGAGGCAGCAGUGGGGAAUAUUGGACAAUGGGCGAAAGCCUGAUCCAGCGAUGGCGCGUGUGUGAAGAAGGUGUUCGGAUUGUAAAGAACUUUAAGUUGGGAGGAAGGGCAGUAAGUUAAUACCUUGCUGUUUUGACGUUACCAACAGAAUAAGCACCGGCUAACUUCGUG